RNAcentral lists this ribosomal RNA (378 nucleotides) under uncultured bacterium. Its description in RNAcentral is "bacterial SSU rRNA". It matches the Rfam family "Bacterial small subunit ribosomal RNA", at positions 523 to 898 of the family's 1533-position model. The record is from RNAcentral.
AUACGUAGGGUGCGAGCGUUGUCCGGAAUUACUGGGCGUAAAGAGCUUGUAGGCGGUUCGUCGCGUCGUUCGUGAAAACUUGGGGCUCAACCCCAAGCUUGCGGGCGAUACGGGCGGACUAGAGUACUUCAGGGGAGACUGGAAUUCCUGGUGUAGCGGUGAAAUGCGCAGAUAUCAGGAGGAACACCGGUGGCGAAGGCGGGUCUCUGGGAAGUAACUGACGCUGAGAAGCGAAAGCGUGGGUAGCGAACAGGAUUAGAUACCCUGGUAGUCCACGCCGUAAACGGUGGGUACUAGGUGUGGGUUUCCUUCCACGGGAUCCGUGCCGUAGCUAACGCAUUAAGUACCCCGCCUGGGGAGUACGGCCGCAAGGCUAAA